This 8687-nucleotide long non-coding RNA is filed under the name Sorghum bicolor (sorghum). RNAcentral's name for it is "long non-coding RNA (SBIC_LNC011444)". Lineage: Eukaryota; Viridiplantae; Streptophyta; Magnoliopsida; Poales; Poaceae. The record is from RNAcentral.
UUAAGUGGCUGAACUUUUCAUCAUCAUCCAAUCGUCGUCAUACAUUUACAAUAAUCAGGGUGAGCCACACCGGCAAAGGUCACAAGCCCAGCUCGGUCGCUGAAGAAGAACAAGACGAACUCCAACUACGGCUAGUUACUUAGUUAGGUCCCCAGCAGCUGAGGUACAUGACGGUCCUCAUCCCCUCCUCCGCGGCCUUGUCCGCCCGUCUCGUCUCCGCCGUCGUCGCCGCCGGCGGGGCCAGCUUCUUGGCCUGCGCGGCGAGGCUGCUGCGCACGUUGGCCUUGGCGGUCCGGUGGACGGACCGCAGCGCGUAGUUCCAGCGGCAUAGGCCCGCCUGGUCCUUGAGCGCCUCCACCGCGCCCACGCUCAUCGCCACCAUCCACGACGCCUUCGCCGCACCUGCCAUCUCCUGACUCCUGGUCUGGUCUUCUCUUUCUCCCUCGAGAGAGCGCGCGGUCACUGAUCGCUGAUCGCUUGUAGUAGCAAGUGAGGUUGCUUGAUGCUGUGUUGGGAGAGGCGAGCCGGGGCGGGUGGGUUUAUAUGUACCGGCGGGCGGCGGGAGGUCGGGGGCACGGCGGAAACGGGUGGGCGCGGACCCUGGUUUUCCUGGAUACCAGGGGCUCUCGCUCACUGGUCACUGCCUGCGGCUCGCUUUCUUGCGCGCCGGCCCAGUGGGUCGCCCACUUGACUCGUCGUCUUGUUUAUUCGCGGCAGAAUCGGAGACAGCGACGCGUGCCGCGCAACCGCAAAUACGGGAUGCCACGCGCACUGUGCCACUCACUGGCACGCAUCGUCAUUAUCCUUUGCAUUGUAGCUGGACUGAUUGGGAUUAGUGAAUAGAGAUGGGCACGCGGUGGACGGUGGUAGUAGUUUUUAUCAGAUCUGUGAUGGCCUGCUGUGCAUUGUCUUGCUUUCAGCAAACAGGACGAGGGAUCCUAUCCUAGCAUGUAGCGAUCUGUAAAUAAUGAAAUCCAUCGCGUGGAAUGAUGAGCAGGAUUCUACGGAUCAAUCGAGGCAGCCGUCCAGGAAUCUUGUUCACGUUCUUGGUGACCAUCGUUACUGUAUUUGUUAAGAUAAUCCCAUCCGUUUUUAACACGCUAAAUCACAUGGGUUAAUGGGUACAGCUGCAGAUUGUUUGUUCUGUUGUCACCGCACAGUGAGUGUGAGACACUGAAACUCUGAGGGUGACGUUUUUGGCAUAAUAUAACCAGACGCCACAGCACAUGGUUUUCCUUGAUAUACCACAGCACAUGGAGCGUUUGCUAACGCAACUUUUACAUGCAUGAAUGUUCACCGCGGUGUGAUUUGUGUGACACUGGUAAAGUAUGGGCUCAUAUCGUCUCGUUCUUACGCGUUACGCCAAAAUGAAAAAUAUCGUUUCGUUCAUAAAUAUGUCUCAACAUGUAAACAAGAUUUUUACGGUGUGAGGGUGGGUAAAACACAAUUUUUUCCACCAAAAGGGUCGCCAAAAACAUUUACGGUACGAUAUACAUAGACCAUCCCCCUGCAACUUUGGUCCGCCGAAUUAGGAGCAAAAACAACUCUGGCCCAAAAUCAAAAGAAGUAGACCAUGCAAUCACCCAAUGACCCAACACCGCAAGUGGCUGAAGCGUCGUCCCCACCCCCGCACUGCACCGGAGGGGGACGGAACGGAUGGGCGGGCCGGCCAGGAACAGGUGGCCGCGAUGAUGGUUUUCCUGCAUACCGGACCGGCACCGGGGGCUUUCCUUUGUUUGCGACAGAAACGGCUGGCCCGCGUCGCUUGCAGUUGCAGAGAUAGGAACGGACAGUAGACCCAGCAACCAUCACCGUGCCACUGGACCACUCCCCUGCCCAUCCUCUGUAUCUAGGCAAGACAGGCAAAUUACUUAAUUAAUUAUUUUUUAUCUAUAUUUAAUGUCUCACACAUGUACUAUAAAUUCGAUGUGAUAGAAAAUUUUGAAUUUUAGGAUGAACUAAACAAAACCUUGGUAUUGGUACUAGUUUCAGUAGAGAUUUCAUAUUUAGGUUUUGUUUAGGCCUUGUUUAGUUCAUCUAAAAACUAAAAACUUUUUAAGAUUUUUCGCCGCAUCGAAUCUUUUAUCACAUGUAUCAAAUAUUAAAUAUAGACAAAAACAAAAACUAAUUGCACAGUUUACCUGUAAAUCACGAGAUGAAUCUUUUGAGUUUAUUUAGUAUAUGAUUGGACAAUAAUUUCAAAUAAAAACGAAAAGCUACAGUACCCGAAAUAAAAAAAAUUAAACUAAACAAGCUUUAGGCCCCCUUUGGAACGAGGGGGAAACACAGGAAAAGUGAAGGAUAGGAAUUUCACAGGAUUUUUUCCUAUCCUGUCCUUUGGUUCACACGAAGAGCAAAGGAAAACUUCCGGAGGAUGGCAUUCCUACGCUCGAUUUCGGAGGAAAACGAGCAUGAGCUCAGAGCUCAUGGAAAGAAUCCUGGCACGAAAAGAAAAUGACUCGCGCGCACCUGCGGAGCUGCCAUGCUGUUCGGCGCUAAGCACGGGCGAGCGCCACCGCCGCGCGCGGGCCUCGCAGCUGUCGUGGGCGGCCCCUGCAUCGACGGAGGACGACGACCGGAGUCCAUAGCGACGCGGAGGCGGAGGCUGGAGCGGCGGCCGGCGGAGGAUGUGAGGCGGCGCGGAGCCCUCGAUGUUGGCGAGGCCGGCGCGGUGCGAGGCAACGGCGGAGGCUCGGAGCCCCGGCGCGGCCAGGCUACCCUUCGCUGCCGCGCGCGGGGAGAAAAAGCGGGCGCCGAGUGAGAGAGAUAGAGAGCCGCGCGGUGGGGCGGCGCCGUACGCCCGCGGCCGGGCCUGCCCAGUAGCGGCGACAGAGAGAGCCGAGGGGAUGCUCAGCAAGCAGCGCACGAGGUCGCGCGGCGGGAGGCACAGCUGGCCGAGAUCUGGCUGCGGAUUCGGCAGCACCGGGAGCGGACGCGCCGCGUGGCCGCCGGUGGGGAGAGCUGCGGGGUGGGGGCGCGGAUGGGGAGCGUCGCCGUCAGCCUCGGGCGCGCGCAGGUGGAGAGAGGUGGGGGGCGGAUGGGGGCGCCGCCGUCGGCCUUCCGGCCUCUCCCAGUAGAGAGCCGCGAGGGACGCGGAGGAUUUCGAACGCGGAUUGACGGGUGGGUGGGUGGGACCGUGGGAGUGUACCACUCAUUUCUGCAUUUUUUUUAUUAAUCCUGAGGGAUCGAGGGACCUGCCGCCAAAGGGUUUUUUGCUGCCUGCACUGUUCCGGUAGGAAUCAACAAGUCGCGCACUUGCAUUCCUACGAUUUUCCUUUUCCUAUCCUCCGCCUACAGUACAAUCCAAAGGGGGCCUUAGUUCCCACCUUAAAACUUCUCAUCCCAAGACAAAUGUUUUGAGCUUAUUUCAUGAGUAGAUACUAUAUAGUUAUAAAUGUACUACAAUAACUAAUAAUUUUUCUUUUCGCGAACUAAACAAGUCCUUACUUCUAAACUACACUAGUACUCUAUCCCAAAUUAUAAAUCAUUUUAAGAAUCUUAUAGAGUUAAAUCAUCUCAAGUUUGACUAAAUUUAUAUGAUAACAUAAUAAUAUUUAUGAUAUCAACUAAAUAUCAUUAGGUUCUUCAUUAGUUAUAUUCUUAUAGUAAUAUCUAUUUGUUGUUAUAAAUCUUUCUAAUUUUUUUCUAUAGUGUUAGUUAAAUUUGAGAUGCUUUAUAAAUUGGGAGGGAGUACAUCUGACUCGAGGUCAGCCUUCCCGCCUUCUCAGUAAACUAGUCCGUCUUUGCACUCACUGAAUCGCGUGGUUAGCUGUUUACAGGAAGGAACACAAAAGUAGAACUACAGCCAAACUGAAACGGAGUCAUGGAGACCCACUUUGCAUAAGCACAGUUUGUCCCUGAACCUCGGAGACCAUGAUUAGUUUACUCUUCGACGAUGAUCACGGUUGAGCAACGUGGACUGCAAAAUUUUGAUGCAGAGGGGCCUCUAAAUUGACCUCUGAUGAACCGAAACUGAGCUGAAAAAAGAGUCUUGCUGUAUCAUUUUUGUCCUCUAAGAGAUGCUCCUAAACUGUUGUCAUGGAAGAGUACAUCCCACAACCUGAGAUUGCCAUUCCACGUUUGCCAUCACCGAUUGUUCUGUUUCAGCACAUGGAGGCAUGAAACACCACCGAGUUCUUGUUUUGAACCCAGAGAGUUUAAAUCCCCACAUCCAAGUCUGCACAUUCAGUAUCAGAACCAUUCAAAUACUCAUGUGAAGGAAAAGAAACUUUUCAUCAUCAUCAUCAUCGUGAUCCUAUUCCUAUUUUACAAUCGCAGGAGGCAACCGGCCAGGUUUCAGGUCUCAACCCAGGCCAGGUUGCUGCACUGCAAGCCGAGACAGGGACGGCUGAACUGAACACGGAAGCCUAGCUCUAAUUGGGGCCCCAGCAGCUGAGGUACAUGACGGUCCUCAUCCCCUCCUCCGCCUUGUCCGCCCGCUUCUUCUCCGCCGGCGCCAGCUUCUUCUUGGCCUGCGCGAAGCUGGGAGCGUUGGCCUUGGCGGCCCGGUGGACGGACCGCAGCGCGUAGUUCCAGCGACAGAGCCCCGCCUGGUCCUUGAGCGCCUCCACGGCGCCCACGCUCAUGGCCACCAUCCACGACGCCUUCGCUGCAGCGGCCAUCUUUGUAUCUGCUUCUUGAGCUGGAGCCUAACGCGCCUUGUUUUUGCUACAGAGUGAGAUCUGGUUGUUGCCUUGGUGAAUUGGUGAUCGGUGUAGAUGCUGUGAGUGAGCGAGGUGGGGCGUGGUGGGUUAUAUAUACCGGAGGGAGGACUGCAAACAAGCGGCCGCGGGCGCUGGUUUUCCUGGAUACCGGGGGCUCUCCGCUCUCAUUGCCUUGUUUCCCGGCAGGUCGCUUUCCCCGCACCGGCCCCUUGCUCGGCUCACCUAUCUCGUCGUCUUGUUUAUUCGCCGCAGAAACGGCCGGUCUUCAGUGUCGCGGGCAGAAACGACGAAGAGCGUGCCGCGCAACCGUUUCUGCCACAGCACACGAGCACGAUGCAUCUUCUCUCAAAGCAAGGCUAAUAAUAUAGCCGGCUGCUGGGCUGUAAGGUUUUUUUACAGCUUUUUUACGGUCUACUCAUAUAAUGGUUAGCUCAUCACUAUUAAUAUAUGACUCACUUGUCUGUCUUAUAAAUUUUUUUGGUUUUUGUGUCUGAGCCGGCUGCAAGGCCAGUCUCAGUGGAGGUUUCACCAGGAUGUUAUGCACAUUUAUUAGAGCGCCAUGUCAGCAAAACUGCACUUUUUGCAUGAAACAAAGAGAAGAGAGAAGGAAGUAGUUUCACCAUGGUGAAACUCCGCUGGCGUUGUUUCCCACGCGGUGAAACAGGAUGAAAUCUCCAUUGAGGACUAAAUCGUUUCACCAUCUUGCAUGUGAUCCAAUCAUUUUGCAGUAAUUAAAUGCUUUGCCCAGCUUAGGAAAUAUCAAGAUGGAACUCUGCGUUGUGGAGGUUGUUUCAUUUUUCGUUUCAUUGAUGCUCUGUCAGCAUAUUUGUUUUGGAAACAGUGCAUUGAAACGGGCCAUUGAGACUGACCUAAGUUUACAGGCUGCUUUUACUCUCUCUCCUAUUCUCUCUCUUCCAUCUCAGCAUUUAGUCAGCUUACAGCUUGCUAUAAUACUUGCUCUUACAGUAGUACUGAAAACUGGAGUACAAUUUGGUCUACCAAUUAGGAAGGAAUCAAGCAAAGUAGAUGUUUUUUUUUAUGUUUUAUAUAUCCUACCAAGUGGUGGCCGCCCGUGCGUUGUCAGCGAACAUGAGGGAGGGAGGGAGCUGCCAGAUUUAAGGUCUCACUCGAGUCGUCCAGCAGUCCAGGAAUCUUCUUGCUUUCUUGAUGAAUUUGAGCGGCAUUAAGCUAAUCUGUUUCCACGCACUGAGUCACAUGAGUUAGCUGCAGUUGUUACCGCGUGCUUUUGGAGCAGCAGCGAGAAGAGCCCGACACUCGUUUGGCUUAUAAGCCAUAGCAAAAAAUAUUGUUAGCUGAUUUGUUAUAAAAGAAAAAUAUUAUUGAAUAACUAGCCGAUUGAGAGCGAUUGCUGAUGCCUGAUGCAGUUUAUGUGGAGGGAAAAUGGUAUUUGAACAUAGAUAACGCUCUGCUGUGGUCGUCUGUGAGACUGUGACUCAGCUUCUCAGCAACUAGCUACAUCAACCUGACGUUCAGUACUGGGCUUCAUCCAUCUCGUUUGUCUUCCAUCAACACUUCUCGAGAGCCAAAUGCUAGUUUGGGGGUAUGUCCUCUGUACUUCUUCAGCGGGUUGUUUGGGAGUAGAAAGAACUAGAAACUGUCAAACUGAAAUGGAGACCGUGCUGUUACUUUGCUUCAUCAUAAAGAUAAACGCCGCUAUUUCCCUAAAUAAAACGUUGGAGCUCAGACCUGAGAUUAACUUAACCUCCGAUCAGCAUGAGUUAGACUGUAUAAGCUUUUUUUUCUUAUCAUUAUGCUCUAAAGGGUCAUCAAGUGACGGGGUUCAGAACCUGAGAUUAUCAUCUCAAAUCUGCCUUGAUCGAUUGUUCUACCGUACCGUAGCACAUCGAAGCAAGCAACGAACCACAGAAAGCUAUUGUUGAGUUGUUUUGAGCGCAAAGAGAGAUCGAGGAGAGCACAGUACUCCAAUUACAGAAGGCAGAAGCAUUCAUUCAUAUACUCAGAAUGAAGAAACAGAACUUUUCAUCAUCAUCAUCGUGGUCAUAUUUUUACAACCAGAGGACCGAUCUGGGUUACUGAAAGCUGGAAAAGAGCUAGAGGACCUAAGCAACUAUGCCCAAUAACUAAUUAGGGCCCCAGCAGCUGAGGUACAUGACGGUCCUCAUCCCCUCCUCGGCCUUGUCCGCCCGCCUCCUCUCCGCCGGCGCCAGCUUCUUCUUGGCCUGUGCGAAGCUGGGAGCGUUGGCCUUGGCGGCCUGGUGGAUGGACCGCAGCGCGUAGUUCCAGCGGCAGAGCCCCGCCUGGUCCUUGAGCGCCUCCACGGCGCCCACACUCAUCGCCACCAUCCACGACGCCUUCGCUGCUGCCGCCAUGUCCGUCCUUCUCCUGCUCCUCCUCGGUUCUUGGUGGCUACAGAGUUCGGUUGGUCAGGUGUGCUGCUCGCUGAAUCGCCGAUGACUCACAGUAGGAUGUCAAGUUGUGUGAUGCUGUGUUGUGGUGAGCUGGGAGGCGGGCCGGCGGGGCGAGUUAUAUAGCGGAGGGAGGCCGGCCGCGAGGGGUGGGCCGGCGGAAACAGGUGGCCGCGGACGCUGGUUUCCCUGGAUACCGGGGGCUCCGAUCGCACUCUCCUCCAUGCUUGUCUACGUUACGCCGCAGAGGCGAUCGCUUUCUCGGCACCACACCGGCCCAGUGGGUCACUUGGCUAUCUUGUCUUGUUCCGUGAUGGGAUAACGCAUCUCUGGAUCACUGAAUCUAGUCUGCUUGUGCUUUACAAUUGUCCUUUCGGUUUUUACCAUAUGGCUUAGCUGAUUAUAUUAAACUAAUCCGUUUCUAAUGCAAUGAAGCACAUGGAUUUGCUGCAGAUUUUUUUAUUAUUUAUUUAUUUUACCACAUACUCAUGGAUCACUGAGAGGGACAUUGCGGGAUUGCUGGACGCCAUAGGACAUGGUUUCCAGGAUACCGUGGGCUAUUCCGCUAUUUGCUGAUGCCAUUCGGGCAUGUUUGGUUACGGUCCUACCAGACCACCAAUCAAACACGUCCUUUAUGCGUCUAUAUAGAAAAAAAAAACUAUUUAAACACCACCGUGCUGCGGGCAUGUGGCCUGUGACUGACAGCUUCUCAAUGAACCGUACUUUUACGGAAGCAAUCAAAUUUUACCUGUCUGGCGGUGGUUCAAACAUGAACAACCCCUAACUUCCCUUCUUUCUGCUUCUGUCAUUUACCGACGACUCCCAUGUCGUCCUCUUGCCGUGACAGGGAUGAUAUCACCCUUUUCCCUGUCAUGGACUCGUGUGUCAUUUAGCAACCGCUGAUUAUUGCAAAGUAGAGAGUGCCACACGGAAAUAGAGGCCGUGCUGUUGCUUUGCUUCACCACAAAUCAAGCACAGUUUUUUCCCCCCUAAAAACUUGGACGCCAUGUUCAUGUCUAACUGAAUUCUGUUCAUUAAUGUGGACUAGGUAAAGGUGUGCGAGGUUCGCACGGGUAGGCCUGAAAUGAAGCUUUAAAAAACUGUGCUUGAUCUAUGCUGUCAUUUCCUCCGCUGCUGCGGGUCAUGGUCAUCAAAGUGCAGUGUUCAGAAUAUGAGGUUAUCAUCUCAUAGCAUUUGAGUGAUUGUCGCUGCUUUAAUUAGCACACCGAAGCAUCGAAUUCGAAUCCCCACGAACUCUUGUCAGCGCAGAGGAUUCGUAGAAAGCACAACAACAAGCAUUAGGCAACAGAAGCAUCCAUAUACUUGGAUGAACUGACAGAACUUUUCACCAUCAUCAUUUGCUCUUCUAUAUUUACAGUCAGGAGGACGAAUCGGCCGCCAAGCUCGCUCAUCUGCUGAAACCUCAAAGCUGGAACAGAGCAAGAGGACCUAAGAGGCUAAGACCUAUGACGACUAAUUAGGGCCCCAGCAGCUGAGGUACAUGACCGUCCUCAACCCCUCCUCCGCGGCCUUGUCCGCCCGCCUCCUCUCCGCCGGCGCCGGCGCCAGCUUCUUGGCCUGCGCGAAGCUGGGAGCGUUGGCCUUGGCGGCCUGGUGGAUGGACCGCAGCGCGUAG